RNAcentral lists this unclassified non-coding RNA (337 nucleotides) under soil metagenome. RNAcentral's name for it is "partial contains 5.8S ribosomal RNA, internal transcribed spacer 2, and large subunit ribosomal RNA". The stretch from base 1 to 120 matches the Rfam family "5.8S ribosomal RNA", at positions 35 to 154 of the family's 154-position model. The record is from RNAcentral.
GAUGAAGAACGCAGCGAAAUGCGAUAAGUAGUGUGAAUUGCAGAAUUUAGUGAAUCAUCGAAUCUUUGAACGCACAUUGCGCCCCAUGGUAUUCCGUGGGGCAUGCCUGUUCGAGCGUCAUUUACCCCCUCAAGCUCCGCUUGGUGUUGGGCGUCUGUCCCGCUUCGCGCGCGGACUCGCCCCAAAGGUAUUGGCAGCGGUCGUGCCAGCUUCUCGCGCAGCACAUUGCGCUUCUCGAGGCACCGGUGGGCCCGCGUCCAUCAAGCUCACCCCCCCAGUUUGACCUCGGAUCAGGUAGGGAUACCCGCUGAACUUAAGCAUAUCAAUAAGCGGAGGA